UUGAAGAAAGCAAGGG
RNAcentral lists this ribosomal RNA (16 nucleotides) under Candidatus Phytoplasma balanitae. Its description in RNAcentral is "partial 23S ribosomal RNA". The record is from RNAcentral. Lineage: Bacteria; Bacillati; Mycoplasmatota; Mollicutes; Acholeplasmatales; Acholeplasmataceae.